UUCGUCCAAGUGAAGCGGAGGACAGUGGCGGACGGGUGAGUAACGCGUGAGGAACCUGCCUUUCAGAGGGGGACAACAGUUGGAAACGACUGCUAAUACCGCAUAAGAUUACAGUACCGCAUGAUACAGUGAUCAAAGGAGCAAUCCGCUGAAAGAUGGCCUCGCGUCUGAUUAGCUAGUUGGUGAGGUAACGGCCCACCAAGGCGACGAUCAGUAGCCGGACUGAGAGGUUGAACGGCCACAUUGGGACUGAGACACGGUCCAAACUCC
Molecule: ribosomal RNA, 270 nt
Filed under: uncultured Oscillospiraceae bacterium
Lineage: Bacteria; Bacillati; Bacillota; Clostridia; Eubacteriales; Oscillospiraceae
Description: partial 16S ribosomal RNA
Rfam family: Bacterial small subunit ribosomal RNA
Source: RNAcentral